This 436-nucleotide unclassified non-coding RNA is filed under the name Hevea brasiliensis (rubber tree). The record is from RNAcentral. Lineage: Eukaryota; Viridiplantae; Streptophyta; Magnoliopsida; Malpighiales; Euphorbiaceae.
GAUGCCUUGACCAGAGCUACUAGAAAGUCUUUUAAUCGCCACAUUUUUCCCGUCUUGUAGUGUUCCCUUAUAAACUGGACCAUAGCCCCCUUGCCCAAGUUUGUUCUCUAUGUCAAAGUUGUUGGUUGCAACUAAUAUGCUAUGGAAGUCAAAUAAAGGCAACUCUACUGACUCUUCAUCUUCNNNNACAUGAUUGGUUGUGAAUUUUCUCUUGAAAUGUCAAUUGGAGCAUUUCUUUUAGCUUUUUGUUUGGCUUUCCACUUCAUGAAACAAUAAAUCAUGACACCAAAGAGGGCAAUGAUUGUAACAGCAAUGACGCUGAUAAUGAUCUUUACUUUAGUCUUCUGAUCGCUUUCACCCAAUUCUGUAUGUGCAAGACGGAGAUUAAGAUCUUGUCCACCAAAGGGUAACACGUGCAUAUCCAGAAGGUUUCCUG